GUCUUUUAGAUAAUAAUUUAAAGUCCAAUCUGCCCAAUGAAUUUUUAAUGGCCGCGGUAUAUUGACCGUGCAAAGGUAGCGUAAUAAAUAGUUUUUUAAAUGAAAACCUGUAUGAAGGAUUAAACGAGAAUUAGACUGUCUCUUUACUGAAAAUAAAACUUUAUUUUUAAGUAAAAAAGCUUAAAUUUUUUAAAAAGACGAGAAGACCCUAUAGAUUUUUAUAUUUUUAUUGAUUUUGUUAAGUUAGAAUUUAUUAAUUUUUCAAUAAAUUAUUUGGUUGGGGUGAUCAGAAUAUUUAAUAAACUAUUUUGCUUAAAAACAUAAAUUUAUGAAUUAAUGAUCCAAUAUUUUUGAUUAAAAGAUUAAAUUACCUUAGGGAUAACAGCGUUAUUUUUUCUGAAAGUUCUUAUUGAUGAAAAAGUUUGCGACCUCGAUGUUGGAUUAAAAUUAAUUUUUAAUGCAGAAGUUAAAUAAUUAAGUCUGUUCGACUUUUAAAAUUUUUCGACUUUUAAAAUUUUUUAAUGCAGAAGUUAAAUAAUUAAGUCUGUUCGACUUUUAAAAUUUUUCGACUUUUAAAAUUUU
Molecule: ribosomal RNA, 582 nt
Filed under: Ptinus tectus (Australian spider beetle)
Lineage: Eukaryota; Metazoa; Arthropoda; Insecta; Coleoptera; Ptinidae
Description: partial 16S ribosomal RNA
Source: RNAcentral